GAUGAAGAACGUAGCGAAAUGCGAUAAGUAAUGCGAAUUGCAGAAUUCAGUGAAUCAUCGAAUCUUUGAACGCACAUUGCGCCCGCCAGUAUUCUGGCGGGCAUGCCUGUCUGAGCGUCGUUUCGACCCUCGCGCCCGGCUUCUGUCGGGGGCGGUGUUGGGGAUCGGCCACACCCUUCAGUGGGAGGCCGGCCCCUAAAUUCAGUGGCGACCACGCUGUAGCCUCCCCUGCGUAGUACUAAAACCACCUCGCAGGCGGAGAGCGGUGCGGCCCGCCGUAAAACCCCCCAACUGUUACAAGGUCGACCUCAGAUCAGGUAGGAAUACCCGCUGAACUUAAGCAUAUCAAUAAGCGGAGGA
RNAcentral lists this unclassified non-coding RNA (360 nucleotides) under soil metagenome. RNAcentral describes it as "partial contains 5.8S ribosomal RNA, internal transcribed spacer 2, and large subunit ribosomal RNA". The stretch from base 1 to 120 matches the Rfam family "5.8S ribosomal RNA", at positions 35 to 154 of the family's 154-position model. The record is from RNAcentral.